Molecule: ribosomal RNA, 432 nt
Filed under: uncultured bacterium
Lineage: Bacteria
Description: partial 16S ribosomal RNA
Rfam family: Bacterial small subunit ribosomal RNA
Source: RNAcentral
AACGAACGCUGGCGGCAGGCCUAACACAUGCAAGUCGAGCGCGCCCUUCGGGGUGAGCGGCGGACGGGGGAGUAACGCGGGGGAACGUGCCCUUGUCUACGGCAUAGCCUCGUGAAAUUGAGAGUAAUACCGUAUACGCCCUUUGGGGGAGAGAUUUAUCGGCAAAGGAUCGGCUCGCGUUUGAUUAGGUAGUUGGUGGGGUAAUGGCCUACCAAGCCGGCGAUCCAUAGCUGGUUUGGGAGGAUGAUCAGCCACACUGGGACUGAGACACGGCCCAGACUCCUACGGGAGGCAGCAGUGGUGAACCUUAGGCAGUGGGCGCAACCAUGAUCUAGCCGUGCCGCGUGAGUGAUGAAGGCCUUAGGGUUGUAAAGCUCUUUCAGCAGGGAAGAUAAUGCCGGUACCAGCAGAAGAAGCCCCGGCUACCUCCGU